UGUUGAAGCACCAGUUCUCGUACGGUCACCGAAGUUAAGCAACUUUGAGAUUGUUCAGUACCUAGAUGGGUGACUGCUUGGGAAUACCAGGUGCUGU
Acanthosepion pharaonis is the source of this 97-nucleotide non-coding RNA. NCBI's taxonomy places the organism in Eukaryota, Metazoa, Mollusca, Cephalopoda, Sepiida, Sepiidae. The record is from the annotation of a GenBank genome assembly.